Transfer RNA from Prevotella sp., 74 nucleotides. It matches the Rfam family "tRNA". Rfam says of the family: Transfer RNA (tRNA) molecules are approximately 80 nucleotides in length. Their secondary structure includes four short double-helical elements and three loops (D, anti-codon, and T loops). The record is from Rfam. Lineage: Bacteria; Pseudomonadati; Bacteroidota; Bacteroidia; Bacteroidales; Prevotellaceae.
GCUUCAGUAGCUCAGUUGGUUAGAGCACCUGACUGUUAAUCAGGGGGUCGUUGGUUCAAGCCCAUCCUGAAGCG